UGAGGAAUAUUGGUCAAUGGGCGAGAGCCUGAACCAGCCAAGUAGCGUGCAGGAUGACGGCCCUAUGGGUUGUAAACUGCUUUUAUAGGGGAAUAAAGUGAGCCACGUGUGGUUUUUUGCAUGUACCCUAUGAAUAAGGACCGGCUAAUUCCGUGCCAGCAGCCGCGGUAAUACGGAAGGUCCGGGCGUUAUCCGGAUUUAUUGGGUUUAAAGGGAGCGUAGGCCGGAGAUUAAGCGUGUUGUGAAAUGUAGAUGCUCAACAUCUGAACUGCAGCGCGAACUGGUUUCCUUGAGUACGCAUAAAGUGGGCGGAAUUCGUGGUGUAGCGGUGAAAUGCUUAGAUAUCACGAAGAACUCCGAUUGCGAAGGCAGCUCACUGGGGCGCAACUGACGCUGAAGCUCGAAAGCGCGGGUAUCGAACA
This 422-nucleotide ribosomal RNA is filed under the name uncultured bacterium. RNAcentral's name for it is "bacterial SSU rRNA". It matches the Rfam family "Bacterial small subunit ribosomal RNA", at positions 355 to 774 of the family's 1533-position model. The record is from RNAcentral.